GGGAGAGAGACGGAGGAGAGGUGAGGCACGGGGGAGAGGAGAGAGACGGAGGAGAGGAGAGAGACGGAGGAGAGGAGAGAGACGGGGGGAGAGGUGAGAGACGGAGGAGAGGUGAGAGACGGAGGAGAGGUGAGAGACGGGGGAGUGGUGAGAGACGGGGGAGAGGAGAGAGACGGAGGAGAGGAGAGAGACGGAGGAGAGGAGAGAGACGGAGGAGAAGAGAGAGACGGAGGAGAGGUGAGAGACGGGGGAGAGGUGAGAGAGGGGGGAGAGGAGAGAGACGGAGGAGAGGAGAGAGACGGAGGAGAGGAGAGAGACGGAGGAGAGGAGAGAGACGGAGGAGAGGAGAGAGACGGAGGAGAGUAGAGAGACGGAGGAGAGUAGAGAGAAGGAGGAGAGGAGAGAGAAGGAGGAGAGGAGAG
Oncorhynchus tshawytscha (Chinook salmon) is the source of this 422-nucleotide long non-coding RNA. The record is from Ensembl. NCBI's taxonomy places the organism in Eukaryota, Metazoa, Chordata, Actinopteri, Salmoniformes, Salmonidae.